GGGUCAGUAGGUCGGUCGUGCCACCGGUACGUACUGGUCUCACUGAUUCCUCCUUCCUGAAGAACCGUAAUGCCACUAAUUUGGUGUUGCGGGGAAACAGGACUGUUACUUUGAAAAAAUUAGAGUGUUUAAAGCAAGCUAACGCUUGAAUACAUUAGCAUGGAAUAAUGAAAUAGGACGAUCGAUCCUAUUUUGUUGGUUUCUAGGAUUGACGUA
Molecule: ribosomal RNA, 216 nt
Filed under: Glomeromycotina sp.
Lineage: Eukaryota; Fungi; Glomeromycota
Description: partial small subunit ribosomal RNA
Rfam family: Eukaryotic small subunit ribosomal RNA (bases 87-216)
Source: RNAcentral